UUCAUGGGCGGGGUGGGGUGGGGUCAGGAGCCUGCUGUGGGCUGGCCAGGCCCCGGCCCUCCCUGUCCCACCCUGCGCUGCCUCCACGCACCUCUCAGGGCCGUCAUGGCUUUUCCUGUGGCUUCUGACAGGUAGAGUCAGCGAUGACGGCUUCAUAGCCAUUAAGCUUACGGCACUGGGGAGACCCCAGUUUCUGCUGCAGUUCUCAGAGGUGCUGGCCAAGUGGAGGUGCUUCUUUCACCAAAUGGCUGUGGAGCAAGGGCAGGCGGGCCUGGCUGCCAUGGACACCAAGCUGGAGGUGGCAGUGCUGCAGGAAAGUGUCGCAAAGAUGGGCAUCGCAUCCAGGGCUGAGAUUGAGGACUGGUUCACAGCGGAGACCCUGGGAGUGUCUGGGUGAGAGCAGCCCCCAGGCUGAGAGGACAUGAGCAUCAGCCAUGGUUCCAGCCAAGCCCCAGCGACGUCUCCCAGUCCU
RNAcentral lists this small RNA (472 nucleotides) under Pongo abelii (Sumatran orangutan). RNAcentral describes it as "retained intron". The record is from RNAcentral. Lineage: Eukaryota; Metazoa; Chordata; Mammalia; Primates; Hominidae.